CCUACGGGGGGCAGCAGUGAGGGAUAUUGGUCAAUGGGGGAAACCCUGAACCAGCAACGCCGCGUGAGGGAAGACGGUUUUCGGAUUGUAAACCUCUGUCCUCUGUGAAGAUGAUGACGGUAGCAGAGGAGGAAGCUCCGGCUAACUACGUGCCAGCAGCCGCGGUAAUACGUAGGGAGCAAGCGUUGUCCGGAUUUACUGGGUGUAAAGGGUGCGCAGGCGGUUGAGUAAGACAGAUGUGAAAUCCCCGAGCUUAACUCGGGAAUGGCAUAUGUGACUGCUCGACUAGAGUGUGUCAGAGGGAG
This 305-nucleotide ribosomal RNA is filed under the name uncultured bacterium. Its description in RNAcentral is "bacterial SSU rRNA". It matches the Rfam family "Bacterial small subunit ribosomal RNA", at positions 338 to 660 of the family's 1533-position model. The record is from RNAcentral.